RNAcentral lists this small RNA (2407 nucleotides) under Cryptococcus neoformans H99. RNAcentral describes it as "Cryptococcus neoformans var. grubii H99 hypothetical RNA". The record is from RNAcentral. Lineage: Eukaryota; Fungi; Basidiomycota; Tremellomycetes; Tremellales; Cryptococcaceae.
UCCCAUUCCCAAUCCUUAAUGCCCAAUCUCCAAUCAUCAACUAGAAAGGGAAAGUCAAAAAAAGAAAAUGGAUACGACGGUACGUUGAGACCUCCAUUUAUAGUACCAAAACACCGACGAAAUGUCUGUAUAUGAUAUCGACGUCGACAUAAAUGGCCCCCCCGGUACAUGCUGUGGAUGAGCGGCAUUCAGUAGAACGUAUGUGUAUGGUUAUCAGUCUUCGGCGUCUUCGUAGAUGCUCUUACCGCAGGUAUCGUCAAACCUCAGGCAUCUGAUCAACCUCCGGACUUUGCAGCGGCAACCCAUCUUUUUCCGCCAUACUCCCAUUCGCAAUCGCAACUGCAAUUCCGUUUACAAUCACCCCCGCACUCCCAUUCGCACUCGCCACCAAACUCUCGACCCUAAGAAACACUAGUGUAUUUUUCCUAGAGCGCAUUUGACAGGGAUCCCAACGGUCGCGUCAGACUGGGAGAGGCCAGUCGAGAGAAGUACGGUCCAUCGAUUGGCGACCAAGACGACAGUGUACGGCACGACUUGGACUGUGUAGAUGUCCCCAGCCCAUCCUGAAAUGUUCAUUAUGCCUCGUUUCCUGUGCCGAAACUGCAUACAAAACCGAAGGCCACAUAAAAACCAGUUUGGACUGUCACCGACUAAUGCGACGUAUACAUACUAUUCACUCGACAUUUCAUUACACAACAAUAUCACGGACACUUCCAGCAAACAACGAAAAAAGGCCAGUCGUUAACUUCUACAAAUUACUUCUGCUUAGUAGAAGUUCCGGCCGCGCUGAAUGGAACCCACUUAAUCAACAUUUGCAGGGUUGUUGGUGGGAGCAGGAGCAGGGCUAAUAACCGCCCACGAAGUCGUUCCGAACGCGGACUCUAAGCUUGCCGCACUGAUGACACUGGGGUUUCAAUUCGUACGAGGUCGAAAUGGCCAAAAUGCUUACCAAUACUGAUGGCGGAGCGCUUGUCGACAUCAACCUUGUCAACGCGCUUGUCGACAUCGACUUUGUCUACGCCGGAGCGUCGGUCAACGUCAACCUUGUCAACGCGCUUGUCGACAUCAACUUUGUCUACGCCGGAGCGUCGGUCAACGUCAACCUUGUCAACGCGCUUGUCGACAUCAACCUUGUCAACGCGCUUGUCAACAUCGACCUUGUCGACACCGGAGCGUCGGUCAACGUCAACCUUGUCAACGCGUCUGUCAACAUCGACUUUGUCAACGCCGGAGCGCUUGUCGACAUCGACCUUGUCGACACCGGAGCGUCGGUCAACAUCAACCUUGUCAACGCGCUUGUCGACAUCAACUUUGUCUACGCCGGAGCGUCGGUCAACGUCAACCUUGUCAACGCGCUUGUCAACAUCGACCUUGUCGACACCGGAGCGUCGGUCAACGUCAACCUUGUCAACGCGUCUGUCAACAUCGACUUUGUCAACGCCGGAGCGCUUGUCGACAUCGACCUUGUCGACACCGGAGCGUCGGUCAACAUCAACCUUGUCAACGCCGGAGCGUCGGUCAACAUCGACCUUAUCGACCCUGUCGACUGUUCAGUGCGAUCGAAUAUCGCAUUAUGAGUUUGUCAAAGUGAUGUCGAAUAAUCAUGGAUGGCAACACCUCGUCGAGCAGGAGCAAUUUCGAGGGCAUUGGCGGACGCCACAAGGGAGGCAAGGAUUGAGAAAUAAACGAUGGAAGCGCGCAUUGUAGUACUGUGUAUGGAGAGGUUUUCAGAGUUGUUCGAGUUCGAGUUUUUCGUUAACUCUUAUAUACCUUGCAGGCAGGAGAUAAGACCACCGGGUACAUUGCGCACCGUCUCGAUCAGCAUUCUAACGGCUGGUGGGAAGACCGGAUCUCAAGUUCUGGACCACCAUCCCACCUAUCCUCGACCAACCUUCCAUUGAGUUCGAAGAAGAACAAUUCGCGAGACAACUUGUUCUGUCGGACCUAGAUCCACAUGGAAUGAACGUCAGUGAUGGAAGCAAGAUGCCCGUCUACUUUGAAAGUCAGACUGGCCUUGCAAGGACAAAAAAAGACUAUUAGGAGAGUGGAAACUGUAGGGAUUGUUUGUCAGAUGAUCUUUUUUUGGCAUAACAGCUGUUGCACUCCGAGGCCGCCGAGUGCUUCAAAGCACUGCAAUUGUUCUACCAACUCUAUACCCUUCCGCACGGGCUCGUCUUUACAGUUAACAUUCCAAUGUAUUAACAUCAAAGACGGGAUCUAGCGAAAUUCACCUCUGAUCAUUUGCGCAAGAACUUCAUCCGUGCAGUAUAUUUGCUGCUUCAUUGCCGGUUCUGAUGAAUUUUUCGCGGAUAUUCAUCACCUGCUGUGCGCCUCAAACUUAAUCGGUAACCAUUUCCGUGUCUCCGCGAAAACGUCAUGUAGAAUCAUGCAAGCUUGAAUAAGCCGG